CCACAUAUACCUUGUCAAGGAUUACUGAAGCGCUGCACCUACCCCCGUUUUUACACAGUGACCCAUGCACACACAUGCAGACAUACACUAACCCAUACAGACAAACACUGACCCAUACAGACACACACAUACUGAUAUAUACUGACCCAUACAGACACACACUAACCCAUGCAGACACACACUGACCCAAGCAGGCUAACAUACACAAACACAAAUUCUUUGAAACACACAUUGUGAUGUCCCAUUGACCCUCUUACCUUAAUUGCAUAUAUGACUUUUCAAAUCUAAAUGGUAGCUUCACUCAGCC
This is a non-coding RNA of Pelobates cultripes (western spadefoot toad), 307 nucleotides long. Lineage: Eukaryota; Metazoa; Chordata; Amphibia; Anura; Pelobatidae. The record is from the annotation of a GenBank genome assembly.